CCUACGGGAGGCAGCAGUGAGGAAUAUUGGUCAAUGGACGAGAGUCUGAACCAGCCAAGUAGCGUGAAGGAUGACUGCCCUAUGGGUUGUAAACUUCUUUUAUAUGGGAAUAAACCAUGGUAUGCAUACCCUCUUGUAUGUACCAUAUGAAUAAGGAUCGGCUAACUCCGUGCCAGCAGCCGCGGUAAUACGGAGGAUCCGAGCGUUAUCCGGAUUUAUUGGGUUUAAAGGGAGCGUAGGUGGAUUGUUAAGUCAGUUGUGAAAGUUUGCGGCUCAACCGUAAAAUUGCAGUUGAAACUGGCAGGCUUGAGUACAGUAGAGGUGGGCGGAAUUCGUGGUGUAGCGGUGAAAUGCUUAGAUAUCACGAAGAACUCCGAUUGCGAAGGCAGCUCACUGGACUGCAACUGACACUGAUGCUCGAAAGUGUGGGUAUCAAACAGGAUUAGAUACCCCGGUAGUC
Molecule: ribosomal RNA, 460 nt
Filed under: uncultured bacterium
Lineage: Bacteria
Description: partial 16S ribosomal RNA
Rfam family: Bacterial small subunit ribosomal RNA
Source: RNAcentral